UACGUAGGGUGCAAGCGUUGUCCGGAAUUAUUGGGCGUAAAGAGCUCGUAGGCGGUCUGUCGCGUCGGCUGUGAAAACCCGAGGCUCAACCUCGGGCCUGCAGUCGAUACGGGCAAACUGGAGUACUGCAGGGGAGACUGGAAUUCCUGGUGUAGCGGUGGAAUGCGCAGAUAUCAGGAGGAACACCGAUGGCGAAGGCAGGUCUCUGGGCAUUAACUGACGCUGAGGAGCGAAAGCAUGGGGAGCGAACAGG
Molecule: ribosomal RNA, 253 nt
Filed under: uncultured bacterium
Lineage: Bacteria
Description: partial 16S ribosomal RNA
Rfam family: Bacterial small subunit ribosomal RNA
Source: RNAcentral